Molecule: ribosomal RNA, 379 nt
Filed under: uncultured bacterium
Lineage: Bacteria
Description: partial 16S ribosomal RNA
Rfam family: Bacterial small subunit ribosomal RNA
Source: RNAcentral
CCUACGGGUGGCAGCAGUGGGGAAUAUUGCACAAUGGGGGAAACCCUGAUGCAGCGAUGCCGCGUGAAUGAAGAAGUAUUUCGGUAUGUAAACUUCUAUCAGCAGGGAAGAAAAUGACGGUACCUGACUAAGAAUCCCCUGCUAACUACGUGCCAGCAGCCGCGGUAAUACGUAGGGGGCAAGCCCUAUCCGGAUUUACUGGGUGUAAAGGGAGCGUAGGUGGUUUAGCAAGUCAGAAGUGAAAGCCCAGGGCUCAACUCCGGGACUGCUUUUGAAACUGUUUAGCUAGAUUGCAGGAGAGGGGAGUAGAAUUCCUAGUGUAGCGGUGAAAUGCGUAGAGAUUAGGAGGAAUACCAGUGGCGAAGGCGGCUUACUGGAC